RNAcentral lists this long non-coding RNA (885 nucleotides) under Homo sapiens (human). RNAcentral describes it as "non-protein coding lnc-PRR16-2:1". The record is from RNAcentral. Lineage: Eukaryota; Metazoa; Chordata; Mammalia; Primates; Hominidae.
GAGCAAAAGGUGAAAAAAGUCAAAAUAUUGGCAAGGAAACCCAUAUAACAUUCCAAAGAAAAAAUUGACAAGAUGAAACAUGGACCCAAAGCAGAGGAUUUUCCAGAUUCUCCAUCAAAGCCUUCAGAAAAGGAUUAUGUAGUUCAUCCUGAGUCUCAGAAGAUACCUGCUGGCCCGAAAAUAAAACCAUUAUGUCACAUUGCAAAAAGUAAAAGGUCUAAUAACUCAGUUGGUGUUAACAGUGAUGGGGAGGAAUUGCGUGAAGAGAAAGUCUUUUGAAGAUAGAACAGAUGAAAAGUUUUAUAGUCUUCAAUGUUUGAGGAUAGAGAUAGUGGUGAUGACUUCAUUUAAAAAGUCAGAUGGACCUGAAAGAAGGAAAGUAGUUGUCAUUCUUCAGUUUAAGCACAAAAACAAUAACAACAACGGCAAACCACUCUCAAAAAUGUUACCUGGCGAAGAUGUUCUUGAAUCUCAUUGGUAUAUAAGAAAUGACAAACAAAGUACAGAAGCCAGGAAGUUUGAAUCAGUAUUUUUCCAUUCUUUUUGAAAAGAUCAACAAAAUUGAUAGACCGCUAGCCAGACUAAUAAAGAAGAAAAGAGAGAAGAAUCAAAUAGAUGCAAUAAAAAGUAUUUUUCCAUUCUUUAUAUGGUUUUUAAAGCUCUAGAAGAAAUUACAGAGAACAGGCUUUUAAUAGCACAACUCCAGAUUUUCAGCGAAAUGAAUCUCAGAUCAAGAAUCAGUUUAAUAAGAGCACACAAAGAAGUCUUGAAAGUAAAAAACAGAAAUUGCAUCUGACUCUCCAUCCUGCAUUGGAAGUGAGCAGGAGGUGAAAAGCACAGCAAUCUAACAUUGUGGUUUCUGGGGAAACAUUACAUUUGAUGAUU